Molecule: ribosomal RNA, 483 nt
Filed under: uncultured bacterium
Lineage: Bacteria
Description: partial 16S ribosomal RNA
Rfam family: Bacterial small subunit ribosomal RNA
Source: RNAcentral
GACGAACGCUGGCGGCGUGCUUAACACAUGCAAGUCGAACGAUGAAGCGGGUGCUUGCACUCGUGGUUUAGUGGCGAACGGGCGAGUAACACGUGAGUAACCUGUCCUUUUCUUUGGGAUAACGGCUGGAAACGGCGGCUAAUACUGGAUAUUCGGGCUGCAUCCCUUGUUGGGGUUGGGAAAGGUUUUUUCUGGGGUUUGGUGGGGUCGCGGCCUAUCUGCUUGGUGGUGGGGUGAUUGCUUACCAAGGCGUUGACGGGUCGCCGGCCUGGGAGGGGGGCCGGGCGCACGGGGGGUGAGAUACGGCCCAGAAUACGACGGGGGGUAGUAGUGGGGAAAAUAGCACGGUGGACGAAAGUAUGAUGCGGCGACGCCGGGUGGAGGGUGUAGGCCUUCGGGUUGUGAACUCGUUUGUAUCGCGAAAAAGGCACAGUUUUGGCGGUGUUGAUGGUAGUGGGGGAAGAAGCGCCGGCUAACUACGUG